This 939-nucleotide ribosomal RNA is filed under the name Triticum aestivum (bread wheat). RNAcentral's name for it is "partial small subunit ribosomal RNA". The record is from RNAcentral. Lineage: Eukaryota; Viridiplantae; Streptophyta; Magnoliopsida; Poales; Poaceae.
AUGAAGCCGGUCACGGUGCUGGAUCGUAGAAAUGAAGCAAAUGAGAAGAGGUACCCUCCAAAACCAAAUGAUGAAGUGUAUCGUCUGGAAGAAAUAGCCAACGAUGGAACUUACCACAGGAGGCUUAAAAAUGCUAAAAUCUACACAGUGGAAGACUUCUUGAAGGCUCUGAAUAAGGACGCAGACGACCUCCGUGUAAGGGUUCUUCUGAUAAAGAAGGUGAACAACUCCUGGGGAAAAAUGGUUAAGCAUGCUAAGGGAUGCUGUCUCACAGACAUAAAUGAUAGGAUGAAUGUCAGUCUUCCUCAACAAGUUCCGUUUGACUAUGUGAUGAAUGACAAUCUUCCUCAACAAGGUCCCUCUAGCACACAUUCUUCUCUGGAUGCAGUCAUUCUUGAGCCGGAUGAGGCUCUUCAAAGAACCACAGCAAACGAAAACCGGUUUCAUGAUAAGAUUGACCAUCUCACUGAACCAUCUCACCACAAUGAGUAUGUUCAUGGUGAUCAGAACACAGUUAAGUCAAAUUAUUACCAAGGUCAAUCCAAUCCAGAAAAUGGCAAUCUUGCUGAACAAGUUCCAUUUAACUAUGUGAUGAAUGUCAAUCCUCCUGAACAAGCUCCCUCUAGCACACAUUCAUCUCUGGAUGCGGUCAUGCUUAAGCCGGAUGAGGUACUUCAAGGAACUGCAGCGGAUGAAAAUCGGUUUCAUCAUGUCACUGAACCAUCUCACUCCAAUGAGCAUGUUCAUGGUGAUGAGAAUGCAGUUAAUACACAUUAUUACCAAGGUGUCCCACCCCUUGGCCAGCAGCAACCUACAACAUUCAUGGCACCUUCACAGUUGGAUGGUGAAUUUCUAUGGAUCUUAGAAGGAUCAGUUCAAGCAAACAUCCAUAGCCAGAUGCAAGUUCCCAUAUCCAUGGAUUGUGGCAGUGCCAUGUAG